RNAcentral lists this ribosomal RNA (592 nucleotides) under Myceliophthora sp. MTCC 6661. RNAcentral's name for it is "LSU rRNA". It matches the Rfam family "Eukaryotic large subunit ribosomal RNA", at positions 1 to 652 of the family's 3401-position model. The record is from RNAcentral. Lineage: Eukaryota; Fungi; Ascomycota; Sordariomycetes; Sordariales; Chaetomiaceae.
AAUAACUAGAGUUUGCCCCGCGGCUUGGAGACCCACAGGGAUUGCCCCAGUAACGGCGAGUGAAGCGGCAACAGCUCAAAUUUGAAAUCUGGCUUCGGCCCGAGUUGUAAUUUGUAGAGGAUGCUUUGGGCGCGGCGCCUUCUGAGUUCCCUGGAACGGGACGCCACAGAGGGUGAGAGCCCCGUAUAGUUGGACGCCUAGCCUGUGUAAAGCUCCUUCGACGAGUCGAGUAGUUUGGGAAUGCUGCUCAAAAUGGGAGGUAAAUUUCUUCUAAAGCUAAAUACCGGCCAGAGACCGAUAGCGCACAAGUAGAGUGAUCGAAAGAUGAAAAGCACUUUGAAAAGAGGGUUAAAUAGCACGUGAAAUUGUUGAAAGGGAAGCGCUUGUGGCCAGACUUGCGCCGGGCUGAUCAUCCGGGGUUCUCCCCGGUGCACUCGGCCCGGCUCAGGCCAGCAUCGGUUCUCGCGGGGGGACAAAGGCCUCGGGAACGUAGCUCCUCCGGGAGUGUUAUAGCCCGGGGCGUAAUGCCCUCGCGGGGACCGAGGUACGCGCAUCUGCAAGGAUGCUGGCGUAAUGGCCACCAGCACGCCCU